Non-coding RNA from Taeniopygia guttata (zebra finch), 1736 nucleotides. The record is from RefSeq and is a predicted model, not a curated record. Lineage: Eukaryota; Metazoa; Chordata; Aves; Passeriformes; Estrildidae.
CCUGCAAAGGUGAUGUAUUAUGAAAGUUACUGUUCCUUGAGAACUUGGAACUCUACAAAGUGAACAAAAAGAAGAAAACCCAAAAUCCAACAUCACAGCUGCUAACUUGGGUCUUUGAAGAGAACCUUACCAUUGAACUGAUUUCAGCACAGAUGGACAAAGACAGGACCAUGGAUUAGCUUCAUGGCUCUACCCUAGGAGGGUUUUACCGAUGUUAGACUGCUUAGCCUCACUAAAAAUAGCUUGUGAAACUUCUCAGGUGAACUUCAGCCUUGUAUAAGCACAGUGGCUAUCACGCUUCAUACCAUACUCUCUCCCAACUAUGUAAACACUAUUUAAAAUCAAGUGCUGCAACAACAACAACAAAAAAGUUAAAGAUGGACAAAAAAUCAAAGAAUCAUUGAGGUUGGAAAAGACCUCCAAGAUCAUCAAGUCCAACCUUUGAUUGAUCACGACCAUGUCAACUAGACCACAGCACUGUCAUGUCCAGUUGUUCCUUGAACACCGCCAUGGAUAAUGACUCCACCACCUUUCUGGGUAGCCUGAUCCAAUGUUCAAUCAGCCUUUCUUGAAGAAAUUUUUCCUGAUAUCCAGCCUGAACUUCCCUGGUGCAGCUUGAGGCCAUGUCCUCUUGUCCUGUCACUGGUUGGUUCAGGCACUUCUAGACAGUGAUAAGGUCUCCCCUGAACCUCCUUUUUUCCAGGCUAAACAACAGCAGCUCCCUCAGCUGCUCCUCAACUUCAGCUAAACCAGCUCUCUGGUCUAGCUCACUUUAUGACUUUGAUGACUGGUGGUACUACAGAGAUUUAACAGAAGGAAGAAGAGGUAUUAAUGUUCAUCUUCAGUGCCAGCACUUCCAAGUGUCUAAGCUCAUGGCUUCCACAGCACAUACAACUAGGAUGUAACAGUUGUCUGUCACACUCACCUGUGGCUUACUAUGCACAUUAAAAUGUGCUGGUGAAAAUCAGGGGACCACAUUUACAUGCACAGCACUGGCACAAUACUGCAGAUUAUCUGCUUACCUGCACAUCAUUUCCUCUUUGUCCAUAACUAAUUUGGAGUAACACUUUUCUUUCUUUGCCUCCUAAGAAACACUUAGGUGAAGUACUAUGUGAGCACCGUGCCAGCUCCCUCCAUGUUUUGUAAUGACUAACCUCUUUUCAGUAACAGCCCAUUUUUGUUAAAAUUCUGUAGUAGUUUUCUAAUCUAGUGUUUUUAUUUAAAAAGUCUUCCUUGUGGCAAAGAAAAUAUUGUUUUGAGCCUAGCUGGAGGCUGAACAACAACCUUCCUUGGGUGCCCCAGGAUCAGGAGAUGAUGUCAAGGAAAGUAACCUCUGUCAGCACUUCCCAGCAAUUGCUUCAAACCACCUGUACAGCAAUCUUUUCAAUUUAGUAGCAAUGCCCCAUCAUUGACCUUCCGCUGGCUCCAUUUAUACAGCAUCACAAGCUCUGUCUGGCCACAGUUGCCACCAGAACAUGAUACAAAAUUUGGAUCUUCCUGGUUCUUCUGGAGGGUUGGACCAACAUGUCCUAUUUCUGGUUCCAUUAACAGCCCAUAGCAAGCUGCUGAAAAGUAUGAAUACCAAAAGACACCAAAAACCAGGACUCCAGGACUUCCAUUCUAUACAAUCUAUGACUACAACUAGAAAAUGCCAGAACUUGGUAGCUGUGAACAUUAUGAGACGUCUACCUAGUAAUGAUCACUAUUGAGUACUUCUCAAUUCGUAAUACUUGCAG